This 253-nucleotide ribosomal RNA is filed under the name uncultured bacterium. RNAcentral describes it as "partial 16S ribosomal RNA". It matches the Rfam family "Bacterial small subunit ribosomal RNA", at positions 524 to 776 of the family's 1533-position model. The record is from RNAcentral.
UACGUAGGGGGCAAGCGUUGUCCGGAAUCAUUGGGCGUCAAGCGCGUGUAGGCGGCUCGAUAAGUCUGCUGUGAAAGUCCAAGGCUCAACCUUGGGAUGCCGGUGGAUACUGUCGAGCUCGAGUCCGGAAGAGGAGUGUGGAAUUCCUGGUGUAGCGGUGAAAUGCGCAGAUAUCAGGAGGAACACCAAUGGCGAAGGCAGCACUCUGGGACGUGACUGACGCUGAGACGCGAAAGCGUGGGGAGCAAACAGG